Alosa alosa (allis shad) is the source of this 457-nucleotide non-coding RNA. The record is from the annotation of a RefSeq genome assembly. Lineage: Eukaryota; Metazoa; Chordata; Actinopteri; Clupeiformes; Clupeidae.
AUGUGGACUGUGUUUGUCUUUGCAGUGUGUGCAGCAAGUAAAGAGACUGUUAAUCAAACGGAGCCCCAUGUGAUAAGUACUGAGGGAGAAACAGUCACUCUCACCUGUGAAUAUAAGACAACCAGUGCCAAACCUUACCUCUUCUGGUACAAACAGCAACAGAGUAAAAUGCCUGACUACCUACUGGGACGUGGAAGUUUUGGAUCUGGUUAUAACGGCACUGAAUUCAGUGAGAGAUUCCACUGCACCUUCUCCUCCAGCUCUGUUCCUCUGACAAUCAGGAAUCUGCAAGUGUCUGACUCUGCUGUCUACUACUGUGCCCUGCAGCCCACAGGCAAUCAUCAGGGAAUCCGAUAACAUCAAACAGGGCUGAGAUUACUACUAUGGAAAGAUCUAACACAAUCCUCUCCUGCAACUACUCUUCUGCAGUAACUCUUCAGUGGUAUCGUCAGUGUGA